Mus caroli (Ryukyu mouse) is the source of this 710-nucleotide non-coding RNA. NCBI's taxonomy places the organism in Eukaryota, Metazoa, Chordata, Mammalia, Rodentia, Muridae. The record is from RefSeq and is a predicted model, not a curated record.
CAUGGCGUCCUCUCCUCUCCUUUUCUUCAAGGGGCUCCUGUUCACAGCUUCCCUUCUAGCCUGCCGGAACUCAAACGCUGCCAUGGCCCACCUAUCUAUCGAGGCUCUGCCGCCCUCUCUUCCUGAAGGGGGAAAUGUUCUUCUAGAUUCUGACACAGCCCUACCUCCAGGUCAAGAGCAUUAUAGUGGAAAGACGGAAAUCUGCAACCUUCGAGUGCAUGUCACCUGACACUGGAGUUGACAUCACUUGGAUCUUCAAUAACAAGCCUCUAGAUUUCAAUAAGAGGAUGUCUCUAUCUCCUGAAAAGCACAGACUCAGCAUAGCUCCCCUCAGGCUAAAGGAUACAGGGGAGUAUCAGUGCGAGGUCUCCAACUCCUUCAGUUCCAGGAAGAGUAACUCCAUCUCCUUGUUCUUGGUCCGAGUGUGACCUCUCCUCUCCUCCUCCACUGCUGAUGGGAGGUUGCCUUUCUCACUCGUGUGCAAGGUGGAUAAAGGUUGAAGGGAGUCACUGAUCAGUGCAGACACAGAGACAGGCAGCAUGGUGACAGACACUUGCCAUCCUAAAGUAAAACACAGGUCAGUCCCAUUCAGACACAGUGAGGCAAUUAUUUUAUAAAAGUCAAGAGUAUAGGACCAGAACUCAGUCCAGGGAUCUGAUUUUCAAGGGACUAAGAAGGGCUUAGGUUCUGAAUCAAAUACAAACCACACC